This 1222-nucleotide long non-coding RNA is filed under the name Oryzias sinensis (Chinese medaka). RNAcentral's name for it is "lncRNA (ENSOSIG00000016557.1)". Lineage: Eukaryota; Metazoa; Chordata; Actinopteri; Beloniformes; Adrianichthyidae. The record is from RNAcentral.
UUUUACUUUUAUUGCAUUCAUUCAAUAAUAUAGCUUGAAUUAGUUUAAAAGUAAUAAACAUAACAAAUUAAAAAUUUCUCACAAAAACGCAUUUGUUUGUUGUUGUUUUUUUAGGAUACUUGCAUCUGGGAGUCGGAAGGAUACAUAUGCAUCUAUGCACAGCCUCAAAGGAACAAUACAGCCUUUGCCAUUUCUGCACACAGUCCUGAAGACACGCAGCGCUGGCACGAGGCCCUGCGGCAACAUCUCUACAACCUGGAACAGUGGAAGCACUCCUGUGACCAGCUCAUGAAGAUCGGAGCGCCGAAAUCAAAGAAACCCAGCCCGCUGCAGCAAGGAUCUCUUUUUCAUGAAAUAGUCAUUAAUUUCCCGACAAGACAACUCCAAAUGGAAACUCAAAUGAUGAAGAACUGCCGUGACUAAGGGAUCACAAGAUGUGUGGUGUUGAACCUUCAACCUCUGUUUUUUUGUUUUUUUUAUGAGAAAAACAAUCAAAGUGGGAAAAAAAACGUAACUAUACUUAAGUUAUAGUUGCAAAAGAUGUACAUAAUAAAACUAAAGUCAAAUAAACACUUGUUCUCAUUCCGGCUUAAUGGUUGCCUGCGGCCGACCUUUAUUUCUGAAUUUGCCACACGGGUGCCAACUUUAUCAACAAAGACAACAAAAAAAGGAUUUCUAUGAUCACAGCUAACAAAUAAGAAAGCUAAAGGCAUAAUAGGGGUUUUAACUGCUCCCUGGAUCUGUCAAAAUGAAUUUGUUAAAGCAUUUCUGGGCUUGAAUGUCAUUGCGAAACACAUGUGUGAGAUGCAGCAUAGCUUCAAGCUUCAGGGCGUCAUCACUUUGAUAAUUGUCCUGCUGUCAACAUCAGGAGAUUGAAAAAACAUAACACGUCUACCACACAAAUCCAGAAACAGAAUUCAUUUGUGCUGAUGAUCUGUCCCACAUUGUUCCUUCUUUAAUGGCCUUUUAAAUCCCACGAACUAUAAUUACUAUUAUAUAUAUAAUUUGUGCAAAGCAUUCAGCGUCUGGUGGGAGUGUCUGCUGUUUUUAUGCUGCCGUCACUCCAAAGGGGAAAAAAAAAAUGCAUUGCACGCUUUGAUUCAAAGGGUAAAAAUUAAAAUAAUUAUAGUUUGGACUUCCACCAUUUAUUCCAAAAGCAUAGUUAAUACAGUUUAAACAUUCUGAGUGUGUCUUUUUACAUUUUUUUUUUGGAUUAAUGUAG